GUUUCUGCCCGUACGUCGUCGCUGGUGAUUUUGCAUAAAAGUCCCUCGAUUUAUUAUAAAUUAACCCGCAGUCUCCGUUUAAGUGAAGCUGCAAAAACGAUUCAAUUUUACAAAGAUGCCCCUACGUUCGUAAGAAUUCAGCCCGCGAUCCUUUCUUUAUCCAGACAGCUUCCUUUCGAGUGCAGCGGGGCGGCGCAUUUCACGGGCAGCGGGGUGGCACAUUUCAGCGGGGGCGACAGCUCCGGGUGGGCUCGUGGGCGACCGUGCUGCAGGAGGCUUCGCGCGAGCACCCAAUCUCCCGUGUGUCCACCCAUGGGUUCUCGUCAUCGCGCCGGCGGCUGCCCUUGCCGCCACUCUCCGUUCCUCUGCCUGAGGCAGAGGAGGCAAAAAUAAAAUCAUCACCGCCUGGGAUCAAACUCUCCACAUGCGAACCAGAGAGGAUUCGACUUCAUAUUAGAAAAAGACAGUACCACCUCGCUAUUUUAGUCAUAUUUCAUCAAUAUAUAUGUGUGGGCGAUCUGAAAUCAACAAGCCGGCGAUCUGAAAUCAAUAAGCCGCCUCAAAAUCAAUCAAGGGAAGGAAUUAUUAAAGGAGAAUCAGCUCGAGGGGACCUAUCGACCAAUUACCGUAGAAUGGAAAGAAUGGAAAAAGAAAGAUUGG
This 660-nucleotide ribosomal RNA is filed under the name Triticum aestivum (bread wheat). Its description in RNAcentral is "partial small subunit ribosomal RNA". The record is from RNAcentral. Lineage: Eukaryota; Viridiplantae; Streptophyta; Magnoliopsida; Poales; Poaceae.